AGUUUAUUAAAGUUAUAUAACAG
RNAcentral lists this small nuclear RNA (23 nucleotides) under Arabidopsis thaliana (thale cress). Its description in RNAcentral is "snRNA_13664". Lineage: Eukaryota; Viridiplantae; Streptophyta; Magnoliopsida; Brassicales; Brassicaceae. The record is from RNAcentral.